Long non-coding RNA from Rosa chinensis, 1157 nucleotides. RefSeq lists it as uncharacterized. NCBI's taxonomy places the organism in Eukaryota, Viridiplantae, Streptophyta, Magnoliopsida, Rosales, Rosaceae. The transcript has 2 exons. The record is from RefSeq and is a predicted model, not a curated record.
AAAUUGAAAGCGGAGAGAGCAUGAAGGGGUAGCAUACUCCUCCAAAUGCUGGGAUUCUGGUUCGCAUGGCUAAGGGUGCGUUUGGGGGGGGCUUUUUUGCUCCCCUGCUUAUAAGCACCACACAUGUGUGCGUUUGGUAAAUCUACUUUGGCCCAGCUUUUGGCAGAAGCCACGGCUUCUUUGGGUCGAAAAGCUGAAGCCAGCAACCCCAUGCUUUUAGAAGCAGGCACUGGCUUUUCCACUGUAGCGGGAGUUACUAUAGUUUAAUGAACAUUUCGAAAUACCGGGUUGUGUCCUCUCUUCCCUUCAGCAAUUACACCACACUGCCAUCAAACCUUCUCUUCCAUGUUGAAAACUGAAACCUCCAGCGCCGCGCAGUGAACACUGCUCUUGCAUCUCGCUGAUUGCCUCCUCUCAUUCGUGUUCGAAGCCUCAAUCCAAUCCCCAGAUCUUCGUACCAGGCUCUGAAAAUCGAAAGCUCUGCAGGCAUUAAUAACCCCUCCCGGUUCCAUUUCAGUUCCUAUUUCAUCUUUCAUUUCUCAAUCUAUGAUUCCCUAUCUGGGUUCUUCUUUGAUCUGCUCCUUCUUGAUCUGCUCUUUCUCUCCAUCAUUCUGGUUUGAAAAUAUUAUGUGGUAGAUUCGGGAUACCCUCAAAUGAGUGGGUUUUUGGGACCUUACAAAGGUCCAAGACAGCAUUUUCAAGAAUAUCGUAGGCAAGAACCAAGAAAUGAAAAAGAGAUAUUUAACCAAGCACACUCUUCUCUUAGAAGCGUUAUGGAACGCACAUUUGGAGUUUGGAAAAAAAAGUGGAAGAUUUUAAAGGACAUGCAAAGUUUUUUAUUUGAGAAAUAAGUGAAGAUUGUCAUUGCCACAAGGACACUUCAUAAUUAUAUACGGAGACAUGCACAUCGUGAUAGGCAUUUUGUUCACGGUGAAGAAAGAGAAGGUGAUGGGUCAAGUCAUGGGAUAGAGAUGGAUGAUGAUGUAGAAGAAGAAUAUCAUGGUCAUGGUGCACAAGAAAUGACAAUAAUAAGAAAUAGCAGUAUUGAUGAGUGCGUGUAAUAACUUGAACAUUUGAAUGUGUUAUGAAAUUUUUUGUGGUUACUUGAUGCGAACCAGAAACUAAUUGUUAUUAAUGUUACUAAUAUAUUUGUAUAA